This 222-nucleotide non-coding RNA is filed under the name Caryophanon tenue. Its description in RNAcentral is "T-box sequence". It matches the Rfam family "T-box leader". From Rfam's summary of the family: Uncharged tRNA acts as the effector for transcription antitermination of genes in the T-box leader family. T-boxes are found upstream of many aminoacyl-tRNA synthetase genes and some amino acid biosynthetic genes usually in Gram-positive bacteria. The anticodon of a specific tRNA base pairs to a specifier sequence within the T-box motif, and the NCCA acceptor tail of the tRNA base pairs to a conserved bulge in the T-box antiterminator hairpin. Lineage: Bacteria; Bacillati; Bacillota; Bacilli; Caryophanales; Caryophanaceae. The record is from RNAcentral.
UAUAAAGCGUAGACGAGGAGAAGUAUGGUUUACAUGCUCAUAGUAGAGAGGGUCAUCAUCGGCUGGAAGUGACCUGAGCCACUGGAAGUCAGAAAUGCACCUCUGAGCGUCUUACCGAAAUAUGAAGUAGGUAGGAACGUUUUGUCCUCGUUACCGGACAUUUUGAGUGAAAGCAGAGAUGCUUUAACCAGAGUGGAACCACGUAAUGUAUGCGUCUCUGUC